AUUGAACGCUGGCGGCAUGCCUUACACAUGCAAGUCGAACGGUAACAGGUCUUCGGAUGCUGACGAGUGGCGAACGGGUGAGUAAUACAUCGGAACGUGCCCAGACGUGGGGGAUAACGAGGCGAAAGCUUUGCUAAUACCGCAUACGAUCUAAGGAUGAAAGCAGGGGACCGCAAGGCCUUGCGCGUUUGGAGCGGCCGAUGGCAGAUUAGGUAGUUGGUGGGAUAAAAGCUUACCAAGCCGACGCUCUGUAGCUGGUCUGAGAGGACGACCAGCCACACUGGGACUGAGACACGGCCCAGACUCCUACGGGAGGCAGCAGUGGGGAAUUUUGGACAAUGGGCGAAAGCCUGAUCCAGCAAUGCCGCGUGCAGGAUGAAGGCCUUCGGGUUGUAAACUGCUUUUGUACGGAACGAAAAGGCUCUGGCUAAUACCUGGGGCACAUGACGGUACCGGAAGAAUAAGCACCGGCUAACUACGUG
This 482-nucleotide ribosomal RNA is filed under the name uncultured bacterium. Its description in RNAcentral is "partial 16S ribosomal RNA". It matches the Rfam family "Bacterial small subunit ribosomal RNA", at positions 30 to 507 of the family's 1533-position model. The record is from RNAcentral.